This 119-nucleotide ribosomal RNA is filed under the name Pteropus alecto (black flying fox). The record is from RNAcentral. Lineage: Eukaryota; Metazoa; Chordata; Mammalia; Chiroptera; Pteropodidae.
GUCUACGGCCAUACUCCCCUGAACAAUCCCUAUUCUGUCUGAUCUCGGAAGCUAAGCAGGGUCAGGCCUGGUUAGUACUUGGAUGGGAGACCACCUAGGAAGACCAGGUGCUGUAGGCA